GAUGAACGCUGGCGGCGUGCCUAAUACAUGCAAGUCGAGCGAACAGACGAGGAGCUUGCUCCUCUGACGUUAGCGGCGGACGGGUGAGUAACACGUGGAUAACCUACCUAUAAGACUGGGAUAACUUCGGGACACCGGCGCUAAUACCGGAUAAGAUAUUGAACCGCAUGGUUCAAUGGUGAAAGACGGUUUUGCUGUCACUUAUAGAUGGAUCCGCGCUGCAUUAGCUAGUUGGUAAGGUAACGGCUUACCAAGGCAACGAUGCGUAGCCGACCUGAGAGGGUGAUCGGCCACACUGGAACUGAGACACGGUCCAGACUCCUACGGGAGGCAGCAGUAGGGAAUCUUCCGCAAUGGGCGAAAGCCUGACGGAGUAACGCCGCGUGAGUGAUGAAGGUCUUCGGAUCGUAAAACUCUGUUAUUAGGGAAGAACAAAUGUGUAAGUAACUGUGCACGUCGUGACGGUACCUAGUCAGAAAGCCACGGCUAACUACGUG
RNAcentral lists this ribosomal RNA (497 nucleotides) under uncultured bacterium. Its description in RNAcentral is "partial 16S ribosomal RNA". It matches the Rfam family "Bacterial small subunit ribosomal RNA", at positions 28 to 507 of the family's 1533-position model. The record is from RNAcentral.